UGGGGAAUAUUGCACAAUGGGCGAAAGCCUGAUGCAGCGACGCCGCGUGAGGGAUGACGGCCUUCGGGUUGUAAACCUCUUUCAGUAGGGACGAAGCGCAAGUGACGGUACCUGCAGAAGAAGCACCGGCUAACUACGUGCCAGCAGCCGCGGUAAUACGUAGGGUGCGAGCGUUGUCCGGAAUUACUGGGCGUAAAGAGCUCGUAGGCGGUUUGUCACGUCGUCUGUGAAAUCCUAGGGCUUAACCCUGGACGUGCAGCCGAUACGGGCUGAAUGAGUACUACAGAGGAGACUGGAAUUUCUGGUGUAGCGGUGGAAUGCACAGAUAUCAGGAAGAACACCGAUGGCGAAGGCAGGUCUCUGGGUAGUAACUGACGCUGAGGAGCGAAAGCAUGGGUAGCGAACAGG
This 408-nucleotide ribosomal RNA is filed under the name bacterium. RNAcentral describes it as "partial 16S ribosomal RNA". It matches the Rfam family "Bacterial small subunit ribosomal RNA", at positions 355 to 776 of the family's 1533-position model. The record is from RNAcentral.